This 606-nucleotide ribosomal RNA is filed under the name Betula michauxii (Newfoundland dwarf birch). RNAcentral describes it as "partial 5.8S ribosomal RNA". The stretch from base 222 to 377 matches the Rfam family "5.8S ribosomal RNA". Lineage: Eukaryota; Viridiplantae; Streptophyta; Magnoliopsida; Fagales; Betulaceae. The record is from RNAcentral.
UCGAAACCUGCCCAGCAGAACGACCCGUGAACCUGUUGAAACAACUGGGGGCGGGGGGCGAUCUCGCCCCGUGCCCCCGAACGGUAGGGAGACACUCGUGCAUCCCUGCCGAACAACGAACCCCGGCGCGGUCUGCGCCAAGGAACUUUAACGAAAGAGUGCCUCCGGCCGCCUCGGAAACGGUGUGCGUGCGGGAGGUGAAUCUUGUCUAGAACCAUAACGACUCUCGGCAACGGAUAUCUCGGCUCUCGCAUCGAUGAAGAACGUAGCGAAAUGCGAUACUUGGUGUGAAUUGCAGAAUCCCGCGAAUCAUCGAGUCUUUGAACGCAAGUUGCGCCCGAAGCCACCUGGCUGAGGGCACGUCUGCCUGGGUGUCACGCAUCGUUGCCCCCAACCCCAUCUCCUUGCAAAGGGACGAGGGGGCCUGUGGGGCAGAAAUUGGCCUCCCGUGAGCUCAUGCAUGCGGUUGGCCUAAAAGCGAGUUCUCGGCGACGCGCGCCACGACAAUCGGUGGUUGACAAACCCUGGUGUCCCGUCGUGCGUGCCGCGUCGCUCAUCGUGUGCUCUUUGACCCUGUUGUGUCGCGCUAGCGACGCUUCCAACGCG